CAACAAACAAACAUUAUAAAUUUGUUAAGGCACACAUCUAUAUAUGGAUAAAGAGGUAUGAAAGCAUGUUUAACUCUAAAAGAUAGUCCUUAAUAAUACAGAAUUAGGCAGAUUUCAUUAAUCAAUUCAAACUAAGUUUGACAUGUCUUAACUAUAAGUAAUAACAUUUAGGGUAACAUGUCCUAAUGGCAGUAACACAUUGAGCAAAUAAUCAUAAUGAAAGGGGCAGAAGAUUCAAUAACUCACCAGUUAAGAUGAACAAGGAAAAAGAAUCCAACAGUAUAGUAAAUAGCACCAAACGGAAGUAAAAAGAUUGUUUGCCUUGGCUUUCAACCGGCCAAGAAUCAAAACACAAAAUAUUUUUGCUCAAGGGAGAGCAAGAGUACACAGCUUUUGGUAUAUAGUAGUGAAAUGGUUUUUUGAGCUUUGAAUCUUCUCCUUUUUUAUCAAAAGGGAGUAGAGAGGGGUUUAAAUAGUGCUAAGACUAGAGCAUAGAAAUAGCUAAUUAAAAUAUUAAAAGGCAAGUGCUCAAAUCAGUGGGAUUGAAACCCCAAAUUUUAGGUGAAGAUACACAAAAUCAAUAGGAAAUGAGGUAAAGAAUCACAUAGGCAUAUAAUGAAUAGACUAGAGAUUAUUAUAUAUAAAAAAAGGAAUACUGAAUCAAACAAGAUUUGGUUAAAGUAAAAGGGUCUGAAACCCUAAGUUAGGUAAACCACAAAACUGCCAGAAAAUAAAGGCAAGAAUCACAUAUUAACAUAAAAAUAAAACGUAGGUAAGAAAUUAUUCAAAAGAAAACCUAGAAUCGAACUAGAUUUGGUUCAAGUAAAAGGGUCGGAAACCCUAAAUUAGGUAAGUGAAGGGAGUCGACAAAAAUAAGCAGAUUCACAAGUAAUAGAAUGAUUAUAGAUGGAAAAUGCUAGAAAUCAGAGUUUGAACCAGUUUAGGUUCGAUUCAAAGAAAAAUCCGGAACCCUAACCUUUAAGGUUUAGUGCGAAUCAACGAGAUAUGAGAGAAUCAUUACAAAAUAACGUGCUUGGACUCAAGGUUGUCCACAUUCAAGAGACAAACAUAGAUUUGGACGGAAUCAAAGCGGGGUACUUUCCAUGUUUAGGCAAGUACCUAAGUCACUCCGUAACAUAGCACCAAAUAAGGGAAAAAUGCUUAAAUGGCAAAGGAAAAGGG
This 1182-nucleotide long non-coding RNA is filed under the name Nicotiana tabacum (common tobacco). RNAcentral's name for it is "long non-coding RNA (NTAB_LNC007379)". Lineage: Eukaryota; Viridiplantae; Streptophyta; Magnoliopsida; Solanales; Solanaceae. The record is from RNAcentral.